This 834-nucleotide long non-coding RNA is filed under the name Lathyrus oleraceus (garden pea). RNAcentral describes it as "Pisum sativum (pea) long non-coding RNA (PSAT_LNC030161)". The record is from RNAcentral. Lineage: Eukaryota; Viridiplantae; Streptophyta; Magnoliopsida; Fabales; Fabaceae.
AGUUUGGAUGGGCUUGUUUAAUGCUAAAACCGGAAACGGUAUUCCGAACCCACUCUUUCUUCUUCAUUUUUGUCUCUAUGCCAAAUUGGGAUAUUUCUGAAAUUUGAAUUUUACUGUUGGCUAAUUAACUUGUGUUUUUUUUGUUUUACCGCAGUGAAAAAAAAUGGAGCAUUCUUGGACAUAGGAAAUUGGCUGUUCAGCAAUGCUGGCUGCUUCAACACAUGCAUCUUGGACAUUCUAGGCCAGUUGCAGUAGACUUGUGGUAUGCUGUCAUCUAAAACUUGGAAUGCAUUUGUCUGUUUGUGCGCCAUAGCUGAACCAAGGUAGAGUUUCUAUUGCUCAAGGUUGAUGUUGGCUUGAAACAGGGCAAUGGUAUCUAGUAGGUUUUGGGUAAAACUAUUGUGGCUUCCAUUCAUGUUUCCUGUCUGCUGCAGGGCCAAUGGUGGGUUUGUCAUGGUCUUUUGUUGGUUCAAGCAUAGAGCCUUAGCCUUGUAGUGUGGUGCACUGUGAGCAAGGAAUGAGCAUACUCUUGUGGUGGUGCUGCAGUUGAUGUUAGGUUAGUUGAUUGGGAGUUGGUUUCAUAUUGUAGUGACACCUUGUGUUUUGUCAUGGCUUUUGAUGUAGCAGCAGGCACUUUGUGGACUUGCUUGAGCUUGUAUUGCUGUGGAUAUUGAUGACCAUUGUUGUUAUGCAUUACAACAGGUUUGGAUUGGUUGCAAAGUUGUAGUCUCAAUUGACUGUGGUGCUUCUGUUAUUGGCCUGGCGUGCUUCAAGUUUGCAGAUAGGUCCAUAUGCAUGAUGGUUCCAGCUGGCAUGUUGAACUGUUUGGUCCAG